UACGGAGGGUGCAAGCGUUGUUCGGAAUUACUGGGCGUAAAGCGCGUGUAGGUGGCUUAUUAUGUCAGGUGUGAGAGCCCUCGGCCUAACCGAGGAAGUGCGCCUGAAACUGAUAAGCUUGAGUACGAGAGAGGAGGACGGAAUUCCCAGUGUAGAGGUGAAAUUCGUAGAUAUUGAGGAACACCGGUGGCGAAAGCGGUUCUCUGGAUCGAUACUGACACUAAGACGCGAAAGCGUGGGGAGCAAACAGG
RNAcentral lists this ribosomal RNA (251 nucleotides) under uncultured bacterium. Its description in RNAcentral is "partial 16S ribosomal RNA". It matches the Rfam family "Bacterial small subunit ribosomal RNA", at positions 524 to 776 of the family's 1533-position model. The record is from RNAcentral.